GACGAACGCUGGCGGCGUGCCUAAUACAUGCAAGUCGAACGCAGUGGGGACGGGUGAGUAACACGUGGGUAACCUCCCAUCAGAGGGGAUAAAACUUGGAAACAGGUGCUAAACCGAUACUGAUGGAUGGACCCGCGGGGCAUUAGCGAGUGGGUGGGGGAACGGCUACCCAAGGCCACGAUGCAUAGCGGGCCUGAGAGGGUGAUCGGCCACACUGGAACUGAGACACGGCCCAGACUCCGACGGGAGGCAGCAGUGGGGAAUAUUCGGCAAUGGACGAAAGUCUGACGGAGCAACGCCGCGUGAGUGAAGAAGGUUUUCGGGUCGUAAAGCUCUGUUGUUAGAGAGGCGGUAUCUAACCAGAAAGCCACGGCUAACUACGUGCCAGCAGCCGCGGUAAUAC
Molecule: ribosomal RNA, 403 nt
Filed under: uncultured bacterium
Lineage: Bacteria
Description: partial 16S ribosomal RNA
Rfam family: Bacterial small subunit ribosomal RNA
Source: RNAcentral